CCUACGGGCGGCAUCAGUGGGGAAUAUUGGACAAUGGGGGCAACCCUGAUCCAGCCAUGCCGCGUGUGUGAAGAAGGCCCUCGGGUUGUAAAGCACUUUCAGUGAGGAAGAACGCCUGGUGGUUAAUACCCAUCAGGAAAGACAUCACUCACAGAAGAAGCACCGGCUAACUCCGUGCCAGCAGCCGCGGUAAUACGGAGGGUGCGAGCGUUAAUCGGAAUUACUGGGCGUAAAGCGCGCGUAGGUGGCUUGAUAAGCCGGUUGUGAAAGCCCCGGGCUCAACCUGGGAACGGCAUCCGGAACUGUCAAGCUAGAGUGCAGGAGAGGAAGGUAGAAUUCCCGGUGUAGCGGUGAAAUGCGUAGAGAUCGGGAGGAAUACCAGUGGCGAAGGCGGCCUUCUGGACUGACACUGACACUGAGGUGCGAAAGCGUGGGUAGCAAACAGGAUUAGAUACCCUUGUAGUC
RNAcentral lists this ribosomal RNA (465 nucleotides) under Vreelandella stevensii. Its description in RNAcentral is "partial 16S ribosomal RNA". It matches the Rfam family "Bacterial small subunit ribosomal RNA", at positions 338 to 795 of the family's 1533-position model. Lineage: Bacteria; Pseudomonadati; Pseudomonadota; Gammaproteobacteria; Oceanospirillales; Halomonadaceae. The record is from RNAcentral.